CUGUAGCUGUAGUUGAAAAUUACCAGAAAUGCUAUGGAAUCUCCCUGAGAUGUUGCCAAGUGGUAGGGAGGAUACACCUAGCAGGGCAUGGGUGAAGACAGUGGUUUGCUGAUUGUAUCCUAAAGAGAAUGUGCUUAUGUGCUUUGUCCCUUCCAGUCUGGCUGCCCUCUGAAGCCUCCCUGUCCUCCUUCCUCCCCAGUCACAACUAUUACCUGAAGCCAUUCUGCACUAGGCUCCCACUGCCUCCCUGGAGGCUGCAUUUGACUCCUCCCUGCUCCCAGGCCUCCCUUUCUUGGGAAACCUCUCUCUCUCUCCUACUUUUUUCAAAUUCCACUUGUUCCUGCAAAUAUUUUUUCCCUUAUGUAUCCUCUAUAAACAGUGUAAGUUCUUCUAUGGGCUUACAUUUUAUUUUUAGAAACAAAAGCCAGAAGGGGCAAAGGCUACUUUACUUUCUACACCUGAAGUAGUGGCUAUUGACAUGAAUAUGGAAAGGGCAAAGGACAAAUAAAAUGGUGAGGAAAAAAUAUAAAUUAUAUAUCAAAGCCAUAUGCUGUUCUGCUUUGAUUUCUAAUGGAACUUAGUCAAUCUUGAGCUGAUUGGGUUUUGCUGUUGGACACAGAACAUGAAUGUAACUUAAAUGAAUCACAGCAUAUUUUAUACAGCAUAUGCUUGCCUUCUUCCCUGUGCUUUAUGUGGGCUGUGUAAGAGGGGAAGCAGAGAACUCACCAUAUUUAUAAUUAAAUAAUUAGCCUAAUAGCUCUUACAUAUCUGCCUUCCAUGCUCAACUGGAAGCUCCAUGACUGCCGAAACUAUGUCUGUCUUUUCACUGUGGAUCUGAAUUUCUUCUCCACAGUGCCUCCUAAUCCUGGACAACAGAACAUUGCUGGACAACCAUGGCAAAGCUGAGCUCAGUGGGCUCACCAUGGAUUUACUCUGAUCUGCAUUACUUAGAUCAUUAAUGUCAAUCCCUUUUUUCCCAGUAGCUUUAUGUCUGUUCACAUCAUUUCAUUCUCAAUUGCACUAGCUCUGUGCUUUUACCCUUAGCUGUUAUCCUCACCCUCUAUCUAAACAAGAGCUCCUUUGAUUUCCUUCCUCCUCACUUUAAAAUUUUCUUUUGCCUUUGAUCGUUCUCUUAUUUUUCUCAUCCUGUCUCAGGAAUGCUCUUUCUUCCCAAGGCUAUGCCUUCCUCUCUGUAUGGAUCCUGUCCCCUCCUGGCUUUCCAGGACUACUGCAUGAAUUACCUUCUAUUUUCUUGCAUCUUCAGUGUCACCCUUUUCAUGAGCUCUGCAACAGUCCUAUUGCCCAAGCUCUAGAAAAUCCCCCUCUUAAAUUAUUGUAUUUCUAGCCUUUCAUUUACUAUCUCAUUUCUCAAAAGUGCAAUAAACAUGUAAUUUCCCUUUUUCUA
RNAcentral lists this long non-coding RNA (1405 nucleotides) under Homo sapiens (human). Its description in RNAcentral is "HSALNT0372932". The record is from RNAcentral. Lineage: Eukaryota; Metazoa; Chordata; Mammalia; Primates; Hominidae.